Long non-coding RNA from Brassica rapa (field mustard), 6895 nucleotides. RefSeq lists it as uncharacterized. The record is from RefSeq and is a predicted model, not a curated record. NCBI's taxonomy places the organism in Eukaryota, Viridiplantae, Streptophyta, Magnoliopsida, Brassicales, Brassicaceae.
UAAAUAAUUUAGUUUCUUUGUGUGUUUGCGUUGAGCAUAUUUAAUUUGUAGUUUGUAUAUUUAAUAACACCUUGUUGCGUGUCGUUCUAUGAUUUUAAUAAAUGUGUUAUCAUUUCAUUUUUAUUACUACUAACAUGAUUUUUUAGUGAUCAAUGAUAAUUUAUUUCUAACGUUAUGUAUUAUAUUUUAUCGUAUAUUUUCUAACUCUUCGUGCUGGCACUUUUUUUAGAAUCAUUUUCUACUAACAUGAUUUUCUUGUGUUGUUAAUGUGGAAAACGCAUUUAUAUAUGGAUUGGAAUAGCGUUUCCAGUUAUUUAUGUUGUAAAGAUGUAAAUAAAACUGUGUAUGUUGUAAAUUUCGACUUUUUAGUGUAACUGAGCACUAAAGAAAAAAAAUUCUUGAUAAUGACAUUAAAAAGAAAAAAUUUGAACCCUUAAAGGUAAGAAGUGAGACGUGGUCUUUGAGACUUGGAUUAAGAAGAAGAAGAACACCGGCAGAGUCUUAGCGGCACAAGGAACACCGGCGACGGCAAGCUCUUAGAAGCCAAUGACUUGAAAUCGACUUGUUCUCUAUCGCCAAAAAAGGAGCCGAAAUUAGGGUUCUUAGUCUCCCCGAUUUAGGAAAUAAUCAAUUAACCCCUUUUUUUAACCACAUCCGCUUUUGUUUAUUUACUUUUUUUUUGUUUUUUAAAUUUAAAUUUUUUCAAACAAUUAAAUUUAUAAAAAAAACGUACUAAGAUUAGAUUAAGGGUUUAAUUGGGUUUUCAUAAAACAUUAUACUAAGUGGACAACUUAUAAUUCAUAUUAUGGCAUAGGGACAAUCUAUUUGUUUUUUUUUGUUCCAUAUUUACAAUUUUGCCUUUCAUUAUGAUGUGUAUCCAAAAUAUAAUUAUUGCCAAAUAUCUUUUGCACUUUCAACCCAAAUUUCCAAAAUUAUUAUUCAUUACAUUUUAUAUAAAUGGAUUUUUGAAAUGUAUAAUUAUUUUUUUAUCAAUAAAUAAUAAAUAAAAUAAUUUUUUAUUGUUUUCAGAUUUAGUUUUUUAUUUUUUUAGAAAAAAAUAUAUGUUUUAAAUUUUAGAUAGCUUUCAAAUUAUAUGCUAUAAAAAAAUCGAAAUUCUUUUUCAAAUUUAAAAUAAAAAUAGUUUCAAUUUGAAAAAUAUAAAGAAACAAAUUCAAAAUAAUUCGAAAAAAUAUUCAUGAAGUAGCAAUUUACAAAAGUUUGAUCAAAUUUUGUAAGUUAGUGUAUAUAUAUUUUCUUAUCCAAGUAACUUUUAAAGUUCACAAACUCUACACAAUUUUAUCUUCCAAUAACCCCCAUCUUUAUAGUAGGCUUCUUAUUCACUCUAAUCAUGUUUUCUUGCUUACUUACACCUAAUCCAUACCUCUAGUCUCUAGACCAAUCUUUACACCCACAACUUAACUAUUCCAACAACUCCUUAACAAACAAUAACUCUUACUAACGACUUGUUAUGAUCUGGUUCACGUUCAUCAUCUUCAGCUUUGACUUUGGAUUGAUUUGAAACUUCUUCUUCUUCUUGCCUUUUAGUUUUUCUUCUUCUCACUGACUUCCAUUCUUUCAUUUGCAGGUUUUACUCAAUGAAUCACUUCUCAACACAAAGUAGUAAGUGAAGCAAAGUGUGAUCACUACCUCGUUCAUUGCAACCAUAGGUGUCUCAUAAGAAGAGGUUUCGUCCGCCGCGGAGUAUUUGUUUGCGAAGAUUAAGAAUCACAACUUGUUUUCAACAGAAACUAAGCAGUACCCAUUGUUGAACGGCUUAAGAUAUGCUCAGUUAAAUAUACUUCGUUUCAGAUUCAUCGAAACACACCUUUGACUAAUGUGGCUUUUAACGUAGAGAAGAUGUCAUGUACUGAUGUAAAUUUUUUAGAUCGUGUGAUAGUUAUCAGGAUCAAAUCGUAUUGGUAUGAAUCGCAUAGACAUCUUUAGAAUAAUCUAACCUAUACUAAAAGGGUUAUAUGAGCAUCAGAGAGUGUGUCCACGUAGGAUAAUUAAAUCAUCCAAUCAGAGAACAGCUCUCCGCCACGUCAGAUACGCAUGACAAAUUCUAAUUUUCCCAAAAUCGAAUCUCGAUCCCUUUCUCUUCGUCUUCUCCGUCUGCUAUUUUAGAUCGAAACCGACUUGCUCGACUGGUCUUGCAGCGACGAAUCACCUGCGAGGCAUAGUCUUAUCUUCCGCGGUUUGAUCCCUGUGCUGUACGCAGGGUCGGCAAGAGCCUCGCACGAUGAAUCGACAGAAGAAGCUAUCGAGUUUGCGACUCAGCAGGGGAAAGAGAAGGAGCUGUGCAAGACUGUAGACUCCGUUGUUGCUCUACUCCGAGUUGGGAACGCUUCCCUAAUCAAGAUCUUGACCAUUAAGUGAUGAUGAUUAGGAAAAAUCCCGUUUUUGGCGUCUGGCGUUUGGAGGAAACACAACUAUAUACGUUUUUCUUAAUAUGAAUUUUAUUCAAGAUUUGUGAUUAAAAUCUUGAGAUAGAAAACUCAAAUUCUCUUUCUUGAUAAUUACAACUGUGGUGACCCGUGUGAAUCCACUUACAGUUUUUUUUUUUUUUUUGGAUACUCAGGUGGUUGUAUGGAACUAAUGAAUCGUACACGUAUCUCUACUAUCAUGAUUUUUUUUUGUUUUAUUUUUUUUGUUUUGGUGAAGUUUGAUGCUUUGGUUGCAGCCCUUCCGUUAUCAGACUGAGGUGAAGAACUCAGUUGAAAAGAAUUGCUGAACUCCUGGUAAUAUAUGUCUCACUCACUGAUAAAUUGAGCUCGAUAAAUAAAUCAUUGCAUGUUCCCUUCUAUGCUAUUUUUCUUCAGGUGGAAAAUGAUGUUAUUGGCCAAGAGCUCUCUAACGAUUUACAUCUAUUCUGAUCCAACUGCUGCGGAACGUUUGUAUCGAAGAAAGAUGUCAUGUAGAAAAAGGUAUGUUAAACAGUUUACUCUCUCCUUAUAUUCUAAACUAAAACCUCGGAAUAUAAUUUUAGUUGUUUAUCUUUGUUUUAUUUCAGUCAUCAGCUGGGCAAGCACAAGGUUUAACAACCACUAAACCACUCAGUUGAGACAGUAGGAUCUCUUUCGUGUUGAUCAUACAAGGUCUGUUGCUAGGCUGAGAUUUUUAUAUUUUUCUGUGAGAAUAAAUGGAGUAUGAAAAAAAAUUAACCAAUCCCUAACACUUAUAACAAACUUCACUAUCUCCCUCUCUAUUCGUUACCAACUCAAAUCACUUUUACCAUGUCAUUGAAGCUUGCGAUAUAGAGCUAGAAGACAAACCAGAGAAGUAGUGGUGCUGAAAACAGAGAGGUAGAGCUAGAGAGAAUUACGAGGCUGAAGCAUGUAGAGGCAGACAUAUCCCCAGCUAAAAGUUAACGAUGCAAAGCGGAGGCUGAUUGGUCGAUUAUUAAGGACAUGGACAAUAUUCAAACGCUGGAUGCAAAAUUGUUUUCAGUAUUUUAUUUGCUAACGCCACCGUAUGUGCAGGUUGCAGAGUUUAAAUGCCUACUCGGUGUUAAAGCUAAUACCAAAGAAUGAAUACUAUGACAAAACUCUCCAGCUUCCAAAAUAAUUUGAUGCUACAACCGCUUGGUGACAGUGCACCAGUGUUGGAAGGAUCCUAGGUGCUUUUUUAUACAACUAAAUAAAUGUCUAAUACCAACCCGAGGAAGCUGUACAUUGACAAUGUUGAUGAUGAAACGGAAGAUUCCGAGGACGAUUUAGAUGAGAACUUUCAUGGGGAUGACAUGCCUGCAUCCCACUGCAAUGUCGACGAGUUUGACUAGAAAAAAAAUUAUCAUUAUUUUUUAUAUCUCUGUUCAGGGGAAGAGAAAGAUUUGGCUCAACAGAUGCCGCCAAUAUAUUUUUUUAUCCUUCUUUUCGCUUCGGUACUUCCACAACACAUAUUCUAUAAUUGUUAGUUUGUUUUUCUCUCCUCAGGUCUCAUUCAUCUUCUGUCUAUUUGGAAAUUAAACUUACUGAAGAAGUUGCAAGGGAUAAGCAAAGUUGCUUCUUCUUCAGGAAACAAGUAAGCAUCACCUCCUCUCUGAGAAAUGUUUCAUUGUUUCUUCGACUUUGGAUCAAUUUUCCGGAGGUUUUAACACUUUCACUGAAUUUUUUUAAGGUUAGGUUGCAAGAAACACUGACACCAAAGAAGUUGCUUAUUCUAGCUCUUCAGGAAGCUGAGAGAAAUGGAAAUAGCAUAUAUAUUAUCUGCCUUAUCCGUGAGUACACUUUUGGCUUCCACUCACACUUUAAUUAGUGUUCCAGAAUUAGUUUGGGGCUUUAUGUUAACUGCUAUUGGUUACAGGUGUGGAGGAUUCAGAGGAUGAGGACCAUACUUCUCAGGUAGGUUCUUACAUUACUACUUAACAAUUUUUUUACCUUAGAGCUGAGAACCUUUUUUUAACAAUAUGAACCUUUGUGCCCACGUAUGUAGAAAAAAUACUGUCCAACCCCUUCUUUUGUUUAGUCAUGUGUUCUCCAAAGUACAAAGUUGUGAAAAGACGUUCCCAUUAUCGAGGAGAUACGUCAUACAUGUUCCAUCUAUCUAUUAUGCUUCCCUCUGGUAUUAGUUGUUUUGUUUCUAUGAUCAGGUGGCUAAUCGUUGAUGCUUUUUGAUCAGGUGGCUAAGCGUUGAUGCUUUUUGAUCAGGUGGCUAAGCAUUGAUGCUCACUGCAGGUUUCAACUGAAUCACUUUGGUUUACUCCAAAAGAGAGGUAUUAGCAUAUAACUACUAUACACUGUGCUCUUUGGUGUCUGAAGGAAAGAAAUCUGCUCUCAGGUAUAUAUUUAAAUAUAUGGUUUCCGUUGCAAUUUAAAAUUGGAUUCAUAUAGUUUUAAGCACACAACACAUAUGCUAAUUUGAAGGUUCAUCGCAAUGGAACUCUAUAAUGUCUGAGAGGUCCUCUAUAGUUCCAUCAUCAGGCUUCCCAAGUUUAAUCUUUCUCCAAGUUUCCAUAUGGCGGAAGGGAUGUAACACUUCUGAAGUCAUUUGAGUUCCAAGACCUAUAAUCAUGUGGUCAGUUUUUACCGUUUCAAGUUUCAACAGUGGUCACUCCACUUUGGGUCAGCUUGCAUUCAGUUACAUGCCAGUUAAGUUCAAGUUUCUUCGUGCAAGAGCGUGCACCCGAACAUCACCUCUCAAUUUAGCUAUAGAGAUUCUGAAAUGGAGUGAGGAGAGAACAAACAUAUGUGUUAUGUAUACUCUAUGUCCAGUACUUAUCAAGUUCUUCUCAAAUCAGUGUAUUCACAUUAAAAACAAGUCUAAUGUUUGAGAUUCAGUUCAGCGCAUUCGUUCACCACUAUCUGGAGUAUAGAUUCUUACACAUUGAUCUUAAUGGUUAGAGAUUCAGUUCAGCGCAUUCAUUUCUUUUUUGAACUUGACCAUUGCAGCUCUUCGCAACUAAACCAUGACUUGAACCCUUCUAACCAUCGACUGUUCUCUUUUUUUUUUUGUGACUAAUCGACUGUUCUAUAAUGAACGCUGACAUUAACAUUUUAACAAUCUGUGAAACAAAACAACUCAUCCUUCGUAAGUAAUCCUGUUGAGCAGCAUGCAUCAUGAACUAAUAAAAUGUUUUUUCUUUUGUGCAACAUUAGUUAUCUACUUAAUUAACUUCAUUUGGUAACUAAAUGUCUUUUUAAAAAAAAAAAAAUUCUCUCGCAAGUUAUCAUGUAAAUACCAUACGUUUUGAACCAAGUGUUGUCCAAGGUUGAGUCCUCACAAAAAGAGUACGAAAUAUAAGGAAACCAUAAGAGAAGACAACCUAAUACCACAUUAAACAACAACAUGUCAACGUUUUUCAUUUAUGUUCACAAAAAAAUAAAAAAAGUUUAAAAAUCACAAAAAUGUAUGAAGUUUAACAAAAACAAUAAAAACUAAAGUUAAUUAGAAGUAAGAAAAAAAACUAAUAAUGACAGAAAUUUUACGGAAAUAAAAAUCAAUGAAGUUAUAUCGAAUUAGAAUGUGAUAUUAAUUCAAAACAAUAAAUGUUUUUACUAAAAAUGAAAAUAUGAAAAUAUGAAAAUAUUGGUUUUGGAUCAUUAUUUUGGACCGAAAAUAUAUUCUAAAUUCCCCUAAACAAUUAAAUAGAUGCAUUAAUCCUUAAUAUUGUAAUCAAGCAUAUAAGAAAAAACAUUACGUUAGAACGUAUAUAAACAUUACAAAAGAUAAAAGAUAGUAUCUGUAAAAUUAAAUAGUAUUUAGUGGUAAAAGUAAAAUAAAUUUAGAAUAUCUAGAUUAUAUUUUUACACUGAUUUUAAUCAAUGAAUAAUAUUUUAACUAUAGUUAGAUUGUCAAAUAUUAUUCUGUUUAUAAUAAAAAUAUAAUAUAUUAAAUAAUAAUAAUUUUGUAGAAGUUUUAGUUAAUUUAACUCAUACAACAUUUUUUUGCAAAAAUUGUUUUAAUUUUUUGUAUGAAAAUUGUUUUUUAAGUUAAAAAAAUACCAUUUAGUUUAUUUAAAACAAUGAAUAUAUAAAUUAGGUAUACUUAUUAUCAAACAAGUAAUAAAAAGAGGAUAUAAGCUUUAGAUAGAGUGUCCAUGUAGGCGAACAUAAUCGGCUAAUGAGAAACUACAUUUUUGCCAUGUCACUUCCUCUAUUUGUUUUACAAAAUGAUUCUUUAAUUUUUUACUUACAAAAUUAUAAUCAAAAUUAUUUUUUUAGUGAAAAUAUAUUAUUUACAUAAAUAUAAUUAUAUUUUUAUUUACAUAAUAGUUUGUAACUAAAUAUUUAGUGUAAAUAAUAUUAUAAUUUUAUAAAAUACUAAAAUAAAUUGGGUUGGUUUUCAAAUUUCACAAAUAAAAAGUAUUAUUUGUAAACUUAGAAAAGAAUAUUGAAUAUUCUUUUCAGGAGAGAAAAUAGAAAAAUACAUCGGAGACAAAUCCAUAUCUAUUACGAAA